AGAGGUAAACGGGUGGAGUUGAACUGUGAUCUCUGUGAAUUUAGCUGGUGAGCAUGGUUUGGGCUUGGUCAAAUUGGUUGAAGCCGGGAAUCUGCGUAGCAGCAGGUCCUCACCUUCUGGUGGGGAUGCGCGAUGCACUUAUCAAGUGUUGCGCGUUCCAUGUUUUUCGUGCCAGCUUGCCAGUGCACUUUUGCAGAGUGGUCACCACGACCGGCAUUGCUGUCUGGCUGUUGUGGUUAAACCGGCCUUCCUUUGUCCUUGUGGCUUUGGAUUGUCGGGAUGGCAGGUAACUCGCUUGCUUGGCUUGUGGUUCGCUGCAGGUUUUGGCUCUCGGGUGUAAUCGGCUGACCGCAUCGGUUCUGUGCAGUAUGUCGGAGAUGGCGGCUUGUGGUACAUGCGUGCGUGCCAGUUGGCUGGCGUGUCCGUGUUUGGUUGUCAUGUUGCUUGUGUAAACAGGCCUGGCGAUAGCUCGGAUUCGUUUGGCUGGCGGUUGUGUGCGUAGUGCUUUCCA
This 511-nucleotide ribosomal RNA is filed under the name Timoniella imbutiformis. RNAcentral describes it as "partial 28S ribosomal RNA". The record is from RNAcentral. Lineage: Eukaryota; Metazoa; Platyhelminthes; Trematoda; Opisthorchiida; Cryptogonimidae.